RNAcentral lists this ribosomal RNA (484 nucleotides) under uncultured bacterium. Its description in RNAcentral is "partial 16S ribosomal RNA". It matches the Rfam family "Bacterial small subunit ribosomal RNA", at positions 30 to 507 of the family's 1533-position model. The record is from RNAcentral.
AUUGAACGCUGGCGGCAGGCCUAACACAUGCAAGUCGAGCGGAUGAAGGGAGCUUUCUCCUGUAUUCAGCGGCGGACGGGUGAGUAAUUCCUAGGAAUCUGCCUGGUAGAGGGGGCUAACGUCCGGAAACGGGCGCUAAUACAGCAUACGUCCUGAUGGAGAAAGUGGGGGAUCUUCGGACCUCACGCUAUCUGAUGAGCCUAGGUCGGAUUAGCUAGUUGGUGGGGUAAAGGCCUACCAAGGCGACGAUCCGUAACUGGUCUGAGAGGAUGAUCAGUCACACUGGAACUGAGACACGGUCCAGACUCCUACGGGAGGCAGCAGUAGGGAAUAUCGGACAAUGGGCGAAAGCCUGAUCCAGCCACGCCGCGUGUGUGAAGAAGGUCUUCGGAUUGUAAAGCACUGUAAGUUGGGAGGAACGGAAGUAAGUGAAUACCUGGCUGUUUUGACGUUACCAACAGAAUAAGCACCGGCUAACUUCGUG